UUGCCGAGUUCUCCACACCACUGGAGACUUCCAGGUGCUUCCUCCCCUCCCAAAAUUCUUCUCCUUGCGGUCUCCCUCGACGCCAAGCCCACAUCCGCCACUCUCCACGCUCGCACACGCCGCCUCCUCCUCCUCGUCACCUCUUCGCCGCAGUGGCUCCCGUCGUCCCACGCCUCCCUCGUCAUGUCGAAGAAGGCGACUCUCCAUCCCUUCCGAGUUCCGAGCUCAUGCUCCCCUCCGCCCCUGGCAUGGGUGAAGUCUAUGUGGGAACACUGA
This 276-nucleotide unclassified non-coding RNA is filed under the name Zea mays. Its description in RNAcentral is "misc RNA Zm00001eb016500". Lineage: Eukaryota; Viridiplantae; Streptophyta; Magnoliopsida; Poales; Poaceae. The record is from RNAcentral.